RNAcentral lists this ribosomal RNA (863 nucleotides) under uncultured bacterium. RNAcentral's name for it is "SSU rRNA". It matches the Rfam family "Bacterial small subunit ribosomal RNA", at positions 524 to 1381 of the family's 1533-position model. The record is from RNAcentral.
UAGGGGAGUGGCAAGCGUUAUCCGGAAUUAUUGGGCGUAAAGCGUCCGCAGGCGGCCUUGUAAGUCUGUUGUUAAAGCGUGCAGCUUACCUCCAUAUUCGGCAGUCGUAAACUAGACACGACUAGACUGUGGUAGGGGCAGAGGGAAUUCCCGGUGUAGCGGUGAAAUGCGCAGAUAUCGAGCAAGAACACCAGUGGCGAAGGCGCUCUGCUGGGCCAUAACUGACGCUCAUGGACGAAAGCCAGGGGAGCGAAAGGGAUUAGAUACCCCUGUAGUCCUGGCCGUAAACGAUGAACACUAGGUGUCGGGGGAAUCGACCCCCUCGGUGUCGUAGCCAACGCGUUAAGUGUUCCGCCUGGGGAGUACGCACGCAAGUGUGAAACUCAAAGGAAUUGACGGGGGCCCGCACAAGCGGUGGAGUAUGUGGUUUAAUUCGAUGCAACGCGAAGAACCUUACCAGGGUUUGACAUCCUGCGAAUCCCUUGGAAACGAGGGAGUGCCUUCGGGAGCGCAGUGACAGGUGGUGCAUGCCUGUCGUCAGCUCGUGUCGUGAGAUGUUGGGUUAAGUCCCGCAACGAGCGCAACCCACGUCGUUAGUUGCCAGCAUUCAGUUGGGCACUCUAGCGAGACCGCCGGUGAUAAACCGGAGGAAGGUGUGGAUGACGUCAAGUCAUCAUGCCCCUUACAUCCUGGGCUACACACGUACUACAAUGCUACGGACAAAGGGCAGCAAACUCGCGAGAGCUAGCAAAUCCCAUAAACCGUGGCUCAGUUCAGAUCGUAGGCUGCAACUCGCCUACGUGAAGGAGGAAUCGCUAGUAAUCGCAGGUCAGCAUACUGCGGUGAAUACGUUCCACGGGCCU